GGUAAUACGGAGGGUGCAAGCGUUAUCCGGAUUUAUUGGGUUUAAAGGGUCCGUAGGCGGACCUGUAAGUCAGUGGUGAAAUCCAACAGCUCAACUGUUGAACUGCCAUUGAUACUGAUAAGCUUGAGUACAGACGAGGUAGGCGGAAUUGAAGAUGUAGCGGUGAAAUGCAUAGAUAUCUUCAAGAACACCGAUUGCGUAGGCAGCUUACUAGGCUGUAACUGACGCUGAGGCACGAAAGCGUGGGGAGCGAACA
This 256-nucleotide ribosomal RNA is filed under the name uncultured bacterium. RNAcentral's name for it is "partial 16S ribosomal RNA". It matches the Rfam family "Bacterial small subunit ribosomal RNA", at positions 519 to 774 of the family's 1533-position model. The record is from RNAcentral.